Gasterosteus aculeatus aculeatus (three-spined stickleback) is the source of this 1978-nucleotide non-coding RNA. Lineage: Eukaryota; Metazoa; Chordata; Actinopteri; Perciformes; Gasterosteidae. The record is from RefSeq and is a predicted model, not a curated record.
CACGGCUGCGGACGGAACAAAAACAAGUCCACUCUCCGUCAAUCGCCAUGACGGCCCAUCGGAGCGGUGAGCUUUUAUAAAAAUCAACUUUCAUCUUUUGGUGUCAUUGCUGAUACGUUGAUAAUCAAUGAUUCAAUGUUCCAAUCAGUGGAAUCGUAUUGCGAUGACAUCAUAUAUUCAGAUAUCGUGAUGUACCUUUGGCUGCUUUAUGGUGAUAUUUAUCACUAUAAAUCAGAUAGCAAAUGAAAUCAGAUAAUUAUAUUAUAUUAGAUAUUGUUUAUCACGUUGAUGUAAAGUCACCUGGUUAACGAUUAAAUCAAGUAAUCAUGGCGUCAUUAUUGGUCGAAAAAUACAUUGUUCGUUUCUCGUUAGUGUCGAUUCUCUCUGACCAAUCAGACUUCCCCUUCUAGUAUCACCUCAAAUCACCUGGAGCCUCGAAACGGUUCCAUGAAUACAACCAGGUACUAGAGCGAGCCAAGUAGACAGACGUGUGAAGUACAUACAAGCACCCAUGUGGAUCAAAGGGGACCUCUGUUGACCACAGUGCUGCUCCCCAGAGGACAAACCCAUUGACCUUUUCCUCUACUGCCACCGUCUCAUUUCUAGUUUUGAUAUUGGGGUCUACGAUACAACUGUCUCACAACAGGAAGGUCCUGGUUCCUCUCUGUGUGCAGUCUGCAUGUUCUCCCCGUGUCUGCGUGGUUCUCUCCGGUUCUCCGGGUUCCCCCACAGUCCAGAGACCUGCUCUGGGGAUCAGGUUGAUGGGGACUAGUUGCCUGUGGGUGUGUGAGUGGUUGUGUGUCUCUGUGUGGCCCUGUGAUUGGCUCCAGCCCCCCAAGACCCCGUGUGCAGGAUGAGCGGUGUGAGGAUGGAUGGUCUACGAUACACACAGUAAAUAAAAGAAGUGACCACAUCUGGACUGAGGAGGACAUAGAGACGUCGUCUACAUCUCUGGUACAGACCUGUCAGUCAGCUGGUAGCCCCGCCCCCUGGUGGUCACCAGAGAGAAUGCAGCUUUAAUUCACCAAGCUUUGACUUCACUUAAAGAACGGAGGUUGUCUCCUUUCCUAGAGUCCUCAGGAUUGCUGGAUGAAAGGAACCUGCUGCCCCCGUGCACUCAACCAGAGGUCAGAGGUCAGGAAGCUGGCUGGGAGCUGUCUGUGUUCCUCAUUAGCACUCAGCGGGCUUAUCUGGGACACGUGUUCUUUAUCGGCCUGGGCCCACCGGGGUCCAAUAAGGAUCUCCUGAGACCAGGUGAACCCUGACCCAGAGGAGGCGGGAGCUCCUUACCCAGACUGAAGGAGCAGAUGUUGAUGCAGCAGCAGCAGACGCCCGUCACGCAGCGCACGGCCAGGUAGAGGAAGGCCCGGGGGAGGAGGGCGGGCACGAGGCCGCAGAGGGCGUGCACGUACACGCACACCAGCAGCACCGUGCGCUUCCCAUACCUGCAGCAGAGCGGCAGAGCGGCGAGGAGAGGUCAGCGGUGCGCGUGACUCGCAGACAGGUGGAGGACAGACAGGUGGCCGUACCUGUCGGAUACGGCUCCUCCCACCAGCGAUCCCAGCAGCAGGCCGACCAUGUAGAGCGUCUGAGCGUACGCCAACCAGUCCGUCCAGUCACACACUAACUGACGCACACACACGUGGGAAACUUUGUUUUGAUCUCUUUUAUAUUGAUUUCAUGUCCAAAAAUGGCCCCAAAUGCCCACUUUCUAAUGUAUGUAUAUAAUACACACUGUAAAUAUCUCAUUAUAUGUAACACAUAUAAUACAUUAUAUAGAGAAUAUGUAACGUAGCAUUUUGAUCAAGCUUCUUAUGCAUUUGUUUGUGUACAAAAAUAUAAAUUCAUGUUUUCUAGAACCUUCCUGGACACGAUGUAAUACAUCCUAAGCAUUUUCUUCUAGUUUAAAUAUGUAUUUUUGAAGCUUAAUUUCCUCUUGGUAUGGCACACACGUUAAUAACACGCUUAUCUUCACAUA